RNAcentral lists this ribosomal RNA (59 nucleotides) under Allium ampeloprasum (leek). Its description in RNAcentral is "partial large subunit ribosomal RNA". The record is from RNAcentral. Lineage: Eukaryota; Viridiplantae; Streptophyta; Magnoliopsida; Asparagales; Amaryllidaceae.
CAUGACUUCAGAUCAGACGGGGAGACCCGCUGAGUUUAAGCAUAUCAAUAAGCGGAGGA